UGUAACUUGCCCUAUUCCGCC
Molecule: non-coding RNA, 21 nt
Filed under: Arabidopsis thaliana (thale cress)
Lineage: Eukaryota; Viridiplantae; Streptophyta; Magnoliopsida; Brassicales; Brassicaceae
Source: RNAcentral